UACGGGGGGGGCAAGCGUUGUUCGGAAUUACUGGGCGUAAAGGGCUCGUAGGCGGCCAACUAAGUCAGACGUGAAAUCCCCAGGCUCAACCUGGGAACUGCGUCUGAUACUGGAUGGCUUGAAUCCGGGAGAGGGAUGCAGAAUUCCAGGUGUAGCGGUGAAAUGCGCAGAUAUCAGGAGGAACACCGGUGGCGAAGGCGGCUUGCUGGGCCUUACCUGACGCUGAGGAGCGAAAGCGUGGGGAGCGAACAGG
This 253-nucleotide ribosomal RNA is filed under the name uncultured bacterium. Its description in RNAcentral is "partial 16S ribosomal RNA". It matches the Rfam family "Bacterial small subunit ribosomal RNA", at positions 524 to 776 of the family's 1533-position model. The record is from RNAcentral.